Molecule: non-coding RNA, 45 nt
Filed under: Schistosoma mansoni
Lineage: Eukaryota; Metazoa; Platyhelminthes; Trematoda; Strigeidida; Schistosomatidae
Source: RNAcentral
AUCCAGCUGACGAGCCCGAAAUAAGACGAAACGCGCUUCCUGGAU